RNAcentral lists this ribosomal RNA (253 nucleotides) under uncultured Blautia sp. RNAcentral's name for it is "partial 16S ribosomal RNA". It matches the Rfam family "Bacterial small subunit ribosomal RNA", at positions 524 to 776 of the family's 1533-position model. The record is from RNAcentral. Lineage: Bacteria; Bacillati; Bacillota; Clostridia; Lachnospirales; Lachnospiraceae.
UACGUAGGGGGCGAGCGUUAUCCGGAUUUACUGGGUGUAAAGGGAGCGUAGACGGCGAUGCAAGUCUGAAGUGAAAGGCGGGGGCCCAACCCCCGGACUGCUUUGGAAACUGUAUUUCUAGAGUGUCGGAGAGGCAAGUGGAAUUCCUGGUGUAGCGGUGAAAUGCGUAGAUAUCAGGAGGAACACCAGUGGCGAAGGCGGCUUGCUGGACGAUGACUGACGUUGAGGCUCGAAAGCGUGGGGAGCAAACAGG